UGUUUAUAUUUAGUGGAUUGUUCAGAAGAAUUCGUAUAUCCACCUCCUCACACACUGGACUGACUGCUCAGCUAGAUCACUGAUUCAGAGCAUUGACUCCAUGAUUACAUCUAACAACCAUGGGCCAGGAAUAUACUUUAGAGAUACUCUAGAAACACGAUAUCGAGUCAAUAAAUGUGCAACAUUGUUUAUCUAAGGAACAAAUAUAAAAGAAGAGACAUUGCUUAAGAGAAGAUGAUGGGUCACCUGACGAACUACAGC
Molecule: long non-coding RNA, 261 nt
Filed under: Fukomys damarensis (Damara mole-rat)
Lineage: Eukaryota; Metazoa; Chordata; Mammalia; Rodentia; Bathyergidae
Description: lncRNA (ENSFDAG00000031255.1)
Source: RNAcentral